UAUACAUGCAGUCGAGCGAAUGGAUUGAGAGCUUGCUCUCAAGAAGUUAGCGGCCGACGGGUGAGUAACACGUGGGUAACCUGCCCAUAAGACUGCGAUAACUCCGGGAAACCGGGGCUAAUACCGGAUAACAUUUUGAACUGCAUGGUUCGAAAUUGAAAGGCGGCUUCGGCUGUCACUUAUGGAUGGACCCGCGUCGCAUUAGCUAGUUGGUGAGGUAACGGCUCACCAAGGCAACGAUGCGUAGCCGACCUGAGAGGGUGAUCGGCCACACUGGGACUGAGACACGGCCCAGACUCCUACGGGAGGCAGCAGUAGGGAAUCUUCCGCAAUGGACGAAAGUCUGACGGAGCAACGCCGCGUGAGUGAUGAAGGCUUUCGGGUCGUAAAACUCUGUUGUUAGGGAAGAACAAGUGCUAGUUGAAUAAGCUGGCACCUUGACGGUACCUAACCAGAAAGCCACGGCUAACUACGUGCCAGCAGCCGCGGUAAUACGUAGGUGGCAAGCGUUAUCCGGAAUUAUUGGGCGUAAAGCGCGCGCAGGUGGUUUCUUAAGUCUGAUGUGAAAGCCCACGGCUCA
RNAcentral lists this ribosomal RNA (580 nucleotides) under Bacillus sp. CH176a_5C. RNAcentral describes it as "bacterial SSU rRNA". It matches the Rfam family "Bacterial small subunit ribosomal RNA", at positions 50 to 611 of the family's 1533-position model. The record is from RNAcentral. Lineage: Bacteria; Bacillati; Bacillota; Bacilli; Caryophanales; Bacillaceae.